RNAcentral lists this ribosomal RNA (465 nucleotides) under uncultured bacterium. RNAcentral's name for it is "partial 16S ribosomal RNA". It matches the Rfam family "Bacterial small subunit ribosomal RNA", at positions 339 to 795 of the family's 1533-position model. The record is from RNAcentral.
CUACGGGCGGCAGCAGUGGGGAAUAUUGGACAAUGGGGGAAACCCUGACCCAGCAAUGCCGCGUGUGUGAAGAAGGCCUGCGGGUUGUAAAGCACUUUCGGUUGGGAGGACUGCUUCUAGCACUAAUAUUGUUGGAAGUUGACGUUACCUUCAGAAGAAGCACCGGCUAACUCCGUGCCAGCAGCCGCGGUAAUACGGAGGGUGCAAGGGUUAAUCGGAAUUACUGGGCGUAAAGCGCGCGUAGGCGGCUAGAUCAGUCGGGUGUGAAAGCCCCGGGCUUAACCUGGGAACUGCAUCCGAUACUGUCUAGCUUGAGUACAGGAGAGGAGAGUGGAAUUCCACAUGUAGCGGUGAAAUGCGUAGAUAUGUGGAGGAACACCAAUGGCGAAGGCAGCUCUCUGGCCUGAUACUGACGCUGAGGUGCGAAAGCGUGGGGAGCAAACAGGAUUAGAUACCCUAGUAGUC